AGGGGCAUGGUGUCAGCGGAUAGCACGGCGGUCUCCAAAACCGCAAGGGCAGGUUCGAAUCCUGCUGCCCCUGCCA
This 76-nucleotide transfer RNA is filed under the name Pseudomonadota bacterium. RNAcentral's name for it is "tRNA-Trp". It matches the Rfam family "tRNA". Rfam says of the family: Transfer RNA (tRNA) molecules are approximately 80 nucleotides in length. Their secondary structure includes four short double-helical elements and three loops (D, anti-codon, and T loops). The record is from RNAcentral. Lineage: Bacteria; Pseudomonadati; Pseudomonadota. RNAcentral also lists the same sequence under 4 other names.